This 497-nucleotide ribosomal RNA is filed under the name uncultured bacterium. RNAcentral's name for it is "partial 16S ribosomal RNA". It matches the Rfam family "Bacterial small subunit ribosomal RNA", at positions 28 to 507 of the family's 1533-position model. The record is from RNAcentral.
GAUGAACGCUGGCGGCGUGCCUAAUACAUGCAAGUCGAGCGAACGGACGAGAAUCUUGCUUCUCUGAUGUUAGCGGCGGACGGGUGAGUAACACGUGGAUAACCUACCUAUAAGACUGGGAUAACUUCGGGAAACCGGAGCUAAUACCGGAUAAUAUUUUGAACCGCAUGGUUCAAAAGUGAAAGACGGUCUUGCUGUCACUUAUAGAUGGAUCCGCGCUGCAUUCGCUAGUUGGUAAGUUAACGGCUUACCAAGGCAACGAUGCAUAGCCGACCUGAGAGGAGGAUUGACCACACGGGAACUGAGACACGGUGCUGACUCCUACGAGAGGCAGCAGUAUGGUACCUUGCGCAAUGGGCGAGAGCCUGACGGAGCAACCCCACGCGAGGGCUGCACGUCUUGGGAUCGGCAAACUCUGCUAUUAGGGAAGAACAUCUGUGGACGCCACUGUGCACAGGUUGACGGUAACUAGUAAGAAAGCCACGGCUAACUACGUG